UGCAGUCGCACGAUGAAGCCCAGCUUGCUGGGUGGAUUAGUGGCGAACGGGUGAGUAACACGUGAGUAACCUGCCCUUAACUCUGGGAUAAGCCUGGGAAACUGGGUCUAAUACCGGAUAGGAGCGUCCACCGCAUGGUGGGUGUUGGAAAGAUUUAUCGGUUUUGGAUGGACUCGCGGCCUAUCAGCUUGUUGGUGAGGUAAUGGCUCACCAAGGCGACGACGGGUAGCCGGCCUGAGAGGGUGACCGGCCACACUGGGACUGAGACACGGCCCAGACUCCUACGGGAGGCAGCAGUGGGGAAUAUUGCACAAUGGGCGCAAGCCUGAUGCAGCGACGCCGCGUGAGGGAUGACGGCCUUCGGGUUGUAAACCUCUUUCAGUAGGGAAGAAGCGAAAGUGACGGUACCUGCAGAAGAAGCACCGGCUAACUACGUGCCAGCAGCCGCGGUAAUACGUAGGGUGCGAGCGUUAUCCGGAAUUAUUGGGCGUAAAGAGCUCGUAGGCGGUUUGUCGCGUCUGUCGUGAAAGUCCGGGGCUUAACCCCGGAUCUGCGGUGGGUACGGGCAGACUAGAGUGCAGUAGGGGAGACUGGAAUUCCUGGUGUAGCGGUGGAAUGCGCAGAUAUCAGGAGGAACACCGAUGGCGAAGGCAGGUCUCUGGGCUGUAACUGACGCUG
RNAcentral lists this ribosomal RNA (678 nucleotides) under bacterium 10-L049616-122-011-B02. RNAcentral's name for it is "bacterial SSU rRNA". It matches the Rfam family "Bacterial small subunit ribosomal RNA", at positions 56 to 748 of the family's 1533-position model. The record is from RNAcentral.